GGGUUGUGAGGUUAAGCGACUAAGCGUACACGGUGGAUGCCCUGGCAGUCAGAGGCGAUGAAGGGCGUGCUAAUCUGCGAUAAGCGCCGGUAAGGUGAUAUGAACCGUUAUAACCGGCGAUACCCGAAUGGGGAAACCCAGUGUGACUCGUCACACUAUCAUUAACUGAAUCCAUAGGUUAAUGAGGCGAACCGGGGGAACUGAAACAUCUAAGUACCCCGAGGAAAAGAAAUCAACCGAGAUUCCCCCAGUAGCGGCGAGCGAACGGGGAGGAGCCCAGAGCCUGAAUCAGCAUGUGUGUUAGUGGAAGCGUCUGGAAAGGCGCGCGAUACAGGGUGACAGCCCCGUACACAAAAGCGCAUGUGCUGUGAGCUCGAUGAGUAGGGCGGGACACGUGGUAUCCUGUCUGAAUAUGGGGGGACCAUCCUCCAAGGCUAAAUACUCCUGACUGACCGAUAGUGAACCAGUACCGUGAGGGAAAGGCGAAAAGAACCCCGGCGAGGGGAGUGAAAAAGAACCUGAAACCGUGUACGUACAAGCAGUGGGAGCCCCACCACUAAGCCAGUGGUGAACUCCACAUACGCAUCCUUUGCUGAGGAUACGGUUAACGGAGCGAAAGCGA
Molecule: ribosomal RNA, 622 nt
Filed under: Salmonella enterica subsp. enterica serovar Bovismorbificans
Lineage: Bacteria; Pseudomonadati; Pseudomonadota; Gammaproteobacteria; Enterobacterales; Enterobacteriaceae
Description: partial 23S ribosomal RNA
Rfam family: Bacterial large subunit ribosomal RNA
Source: RNAcentral